UGUGUGUGUGUGUGUAUGUUGUGUGUUUUAAAGGUUCCUUUGAACUGCCUUUGUGCUGAGUCGGCGCUGCUUUUUGCCAAUGCAAGUCACGGUCAUACGAACUUUGUGUUAACCUCUUAUGUCGAAUGAAUCUUUUCAUUUGGAAACCCAUAAAUCUCAUUCCGUAGCUCCUUUUGUGCGGCACGCUACGACUUAGUAAACAAGAGUGCGUCGAACAACAACUAAAAACAAAAACAGAAAAAAAGUUGUAACCGAUAAUAAGUACAACUUAAAAAAUGAGAUUCCUGUGUAAAGUGCGGAACUGGCUGUUCACAAGAGGAACGUGGAAGCGAACGGAAUGGAUACGAAGCUCAGCACUCACAACCACAAUUUCGAUGCUACUGAGAGAGAAGUUCACACCUUGAGUUACUACACCCUUACUUCGUUGGUUAAAGCAGCACUUCUGGAAUAAAAGGAGAACUCUUCAUCAAUGAUUGUCCUCGGAUGUUCCUACACUUGUUCACAGCAAACGGGAGCAGAACUGACACCAAAAGCGAAUUCUACCCGUGGUUCGGCUGGCUUUAUAAUCCGGUGGCUAGUGUUGAUGACAUCACACGGUGCCCAGUGCCGGGAACAUCCAGUUGCUUGCAACUGUCAUUUAAUGUUGCGAGCAAAUGAAAAAUGAAUGUGAGACUCACUGGCUCCCAGAAGUGACCUUGGGUAUUAUUAGAAUGACCUCCCAUCGGCUUGACCAGAAGACCUUUGAUAUCUGCAUGAAGAAAACAUACGAGUGAGAUGCUUCGUCUACCAAAUGAAAGAACAAUAAUCAUCGGGAAUAGCACAAAUCUCACGCUAAGCUAUAAGCUUAGUGCUAUCAACAUUAAAAUGUGAUCAAUGCACUCAAUUUGCAUCUCUUCCCGUUGCUUUGAGAAUGUUGUUCUUUAUUACGUCAUGGGCUCGUUAGUUUCAUUUAAAAAGCCAUGUAUAUCUUAUGUAUCGUCUCUGUCAGUUGGAAGUGAAUCCGAUGGUCGAUAGAGCUUAACUCCUGUCAAAGAGCAUUCUAUUACAGGUUAUGACAGGCUAGAGAGAGACAGGAAGAACUCAAGGAAAACAACAAGCGGAAUCCCCCGUUUAGUACUGUCCGUUUAGUAAGCAGUUCAAGCUUUACUGAUGAUCUAAAAAUAUAAGUAAUCAGAAUUCCUUGAUGUAAUCAGCUUUUCUCCACUCAAUCACGCAGUGCAUCCUAUCCCUAAACAAAUUCUAAACACUACCCUGCUUUAAUCAGCUCACACACUCGAAGCACGCUCCAUGACUAAUACGAUAUCCUCAAAACAAAUUAAUGAGGACUGAUUACGGGAAAGAAGGUUAGCUCCCGGCUCUGUUUUCACCCCCUGCAUCGUUCAUCUCUCUCCGUCAGUCUUUUCGUCCCUCUUCGUCACAUUUCAUCCUUUAUCUUUCCCCCUCUUUUCCCGAUUCCACCUCCCGUCUGCUGGUCUUCUUCAAUUGAUCCCCACCCCACUCUACACAGUUGUACCCUUCUCCUUCCCUCAGCCAGAAUAACUGUGACCUAAACCCAUUUAAAGGGGAAUGUUACACCUUCGUCACUUUGCUUCUCUUUCAAAUGAACGUUCACAUCAACUAAUAAAAAUGAAUUUGACGUGUUCCUGUAUGUUGUCAACACAGAACUUCCGGUUACAUAGUGUACCUGUCCGGUAUAUUUCCCAUAAGCCAAUUAGUGCCAGAAACAUUCAGCGGAUAUUCAACUUUAUCUACAAUCUCUAUCAACACUGUCUAGCGGAACAGUCCACGAGAUAACGUUUUGAUAUAGCCUGGUAUAAUUUCAAAAUCAGAACACCCUCCAGUAAAAUCUAAUUUAAUUAAAUCCUAAAACUAAUCACAUGAAAAGGGCGUUGUAUACAAAUAUUUAAUAUACUGGACGAAAAUGCAAUACCUUAUUCUUCCGUACUUGCAACCCCUCCCAACACUAAGUAAGCUGCCCAUUUCAUUUCCAAGCAAUUGUGAAAUUAAUAGCAAUAUUGCCAUGCGCAUGUAUGAACAGAGGAGUACAUGAGAUGAGCUAAGGUCUUUCCCUCAAACACUACCGUCAAAAUGAUAAAACGCGUUCAUUCCAAACGGACUACUGAUACAGCGAGGUUGGGAACUUGCUGCAUGGUAUGUUAUUAGAACGGAGAGAAAGAUAUUUCAAAGGCUGUCGAUAUUCCCAAUGACCUUUCCAUGAAAAAAUUGCUACCUAAAUUAAAAAGAAAGUAUUAUUUUGCAGCACAACUUCCAUUAUUUAAGCUUCACGGAAAAUGGCAAAACUAGCAGAUCUUCAUAUUUCAGAAAAAAAAACCGUGUUUACGGCUGAAGGCCAUUGUCAUUGUAAAAUGUAUCACCUAAUUUCUAAGGGCGAUUAACGACUGAACCAAAGGAAGGAACGUAAAUUGUUACAAAGUAUUUACAUUAAUCGGAAUUAAAUGGAUGCCACUUUUUUUUUAAA
Long non-coding RNA from Hypanus sabinus (Atlantic stingray), 2479 nucleotides. RefSeq lists it as uncharacterized. Lineage: Eukaryota; Metazoa; Chordata; Chondrichthyes; Myliobatiformes; Dasyatidae. The transcript is spliced from 3 exons. The record is from RefSeq and is a predicted model, not a curated record.